GGAGGGAUGGCUGAGCGGUCGAAAGCGAUAGAUUGCUAAUCUAUUGUACAAAUUUUGUUGUACCGAGGGUUCAAAUCCCUUUCCCUCCU
Molecule: transfer RNA, 89 nt
Filed under: Haramonas pauciplastida
Lineage: Eukaryota; Raphidophyceae
Description: tRNA-Ser
Rfam family: tRNA
About the family: Transfer RNA (tRNA) molecules are approximately 80 nucleotides in length.
Source: RNAcentral